GGGUCAGCGGCUCCUGUGGCAUCUGGCCAAGGACAAUGUGCUGAGAAGUUUCCCCUGAAAAAAUCAGAAACAAAACUCACCUCAGGAGAGGCCCCUGCACCCUCCAAGAGGAAGUGGGAGUCACGUGAGGCUCGUCUUGAUUGGGGUUCCUGGAGAGGAGGCCCCCUCUCCCCAGGUGGGGGCUCCUGUUUCCCCUGCUCUGCUCUGAGGUCCCCAGGGUCCAGUCCCCUCCCCACCCUAUCCUGGAGCUUGUCAAGGCCACCAGAGACCUGCUCCCUGUGCCGUCUCAGACUGGACUCUGGGGUCUCCGGUGCCUCCUCUGAUUCUGCACCUCGGUGCAGCCUCUGGCCUGGCUGCGCUCUGAGGAGCUCCCUGUGGCCACCGAGCCCUUGGAACGUGGCCAGUUCCAUUCUCAAACUGCUGUGAGUGCAAAGCUCAUGCUGGAUUUUGAAGAUUUGGUGAGAAAAAAAAUUUCUUUGUAAAAUGUCAGUAUUUCAUCAAUAGUAUAUUUUGUUGAUGAUAUGUUGAGAAACUAUUUUGGAUAUGUUUGUUUAAGUAGAUUGCUGGUGUGAGCCACCGCGCCCGGCCUGUCUUCUUCUUCCUAAGUAAGUGAAGGAAAUAAUGUAUACAGUGGUCCAUUUCCAAGACAAAGUGCCUUAAAUCAGCUUAGGUCAGCAAACUACAGAAGAAACAGGAUAUACUAGGCCCCUGCUUGGAUAGCUGAUGCCUUCUUGUCAGCCUUCUCCCUCCCCUUCUCCCUCCACUUAGUUGCCCUUACCCAAACCAGGGAAGUUUCGUCUAAGAUAAAAGUUUACUAGCCUGCAAAA
RNAcentral lists this long non-coding RNA (827 nucleotides) under Homo sapiens (human). Its description in RNAcentral is "IFITM3 antisense RNA 1". The record is from RNAcentral. Lineage: Eukaryota; Metazoa; Chordata; Mammalia; Primates; Hominidae.